Molecule: long non-coding RNA, 222 nt
Filed under: Nicotiana benthamiana
Lineage: Eukaryota; Viridiplantae; Streptophyta; Magnoliopsida; Solanales; Solanaceae
Description: long non-coding RNA (NBEN_LNC001068)
Source: RNAcentral
UAAAUUCAUGCAAACUAUUCCCCCUUAAUUAUAAUUCCCCCUCAAGUAAGGCAUACUUAGAAGGUGCAUACUUAUAAUGUAAAGACAUUCCCCCUUAUUUGAUGCAUAUCGCCUCUUCCCCCUUUUGGCAUUAGCAAAAAGAGAGUAUAUUAAGGCUACUUCCCCCUUUCGACAUUUCCUCAAUGUCAAAAUAAAAUAGGAAAGAUCUUGAGGAAUAUGCAU